This is a non-coding RNA of Homo sapiens (human), 147 nucleotides long. It matches the Rfam family "Metazoan signal recognition particle RNA". From Rfam's summary of the family: The signal recognition particle (SRP) is a universally conserved ribonucleoprotein. It is involved in the co-translational targeting of proteins to membranes. NCBI's taxonomy places the organism in Eukaryota, Metazoa, Chordata, Mammalia, Primates, Hominidae. The record is from Rfam.
GCCGGGCAUGUUGGCGGGUGCCUGUAAUCCCUGCUACUUGGGAGGCUGAGGCAAGAGAAUCACUUGAACCUGGGAGGUGGAGGUUGCAGUGUGCUGAGAUUGUGCACUGCAUUCUAGCCUGGGUGACAGAGUGAGACCUUGUCUCAA